This is a long non-coding RNA of Pan troglodytes (chimpanzee), 273 nucleotides long. RefSeq lists it as uncharacterized. The record is from RefSeq and is a predicted model, not a curated record. The transcript is spliced from 2 exons. NCBI's taxonomy places the organism in Eukaryota, Metazoa, Chordata, Mammalia, Primates, Hominidae.
ACUGGAAACACAGGUUAUAUCACCAAGGCUUUGACUGAAACAUCAUGUUUUCAGAUAUGACCAGAAGGCUUUAUGGGACUAAGGUUGACUUUAUGGAACCAAUAAAGUACCAUCUUGGAAAAACUGGCUCUAGGGUUCCCAGACUUACAGAAACUAAACUUCCCACAUUAAAGGCCUGAUAGCUCACACUAUCCAGGAAAUAUCCUCUGCUACCAAGUCCCAACAGAUGAUUCAACUGGUCCUUAAUGAAUAAAAGGUGAUCAAACAAGAAAA